GGUCACUCAGCAAUAUCCUAUGGAGGCUGGAGUUAGAACUUGGGUCUCCUAAACUGGGGGCUGGUGCUUUCCAACCCAGAUUCUUAGGGUCCUGGUCCCAGCUCAAGAGUAGCAAAAGGACGUUGCCAUGACUCCUCCUCAUCUCCCCAGGCCAAUGCUGAUGGGAGCCAGCUUAGGGGACAGAAAAGGGCCAUGUGAUCUGAGCUAGACCUAACCUGGCUCCAAAGCCUGGCCCCUAGGAUCCCCAGGCUGUACUUGGGAAUCUCAGGGAAGAACUCAUUCCCUUAGUUCUUUUUCAAAAUAUGCAAUAUGCUUAGGAUUCAGAUGUGUUGAGGUCAGUUCUGCUGCUGGCAUCUACCCAGUAUUUUCAACUUGCAUUGCCUCAUGUCAUCCUUGCAACAGCUUUCCAGGGCCAACAGAUGAGGAAAUUUGUAGGCCAAAGGGGUUAAGUGACUUUUCUAAGCUAGUUGGGAAUAGUAUUUUGUCAUCCUGUGGCAGUUUCCAUUAUCACACUGUUGGAGCAAAACUCUGCAGUAGCCUCACAGUCCCCAACCCUGUGUGCCCUGGAUAGACCCCAGGAGGCUGCAGAAGCAGCCAUCAGCAGCACUAGGUGGAAAAAGACCUUGGGCUUGGGCUGAUCUUGGCAAAGGAACUCUUCUGCUGCCCCUGCCUCUGGGAUCUUCUGGGCCAGUCUUACUUCUCCUGACUGGGUGGACGCUAGGAAAGGAAAGAAGGAUCUGGGCCAGUGGAAGCUGUCAUAGGUCAUUGAGAAGCCAGUUUCAAGGUCAAGCUGAGAUGUGAGGGUGAUCUGGCUGCAACAUUUGUCACCCUGUUGAUCACCAGGGUUUAUUCAGCUGAUCUGGCUGGCUAGGCAGAUGUCCCCUUCCUCCCUCACCACUCAAUGUGUACCCCUCCCAAAGCUGUGCACUCAGUCAUAGAGAAGGACCUUCCCCAGUAGAAGAGGACCAUUUUCAGUCAAGGGUAUACAAGUAGCUGUGCUCCCCAAUCAGGCAGUAAUUUGCUGUCAGCUUGCAACAAAAAGGUCAGGUCUCCAGCUGUUAUCAGCAGAAAAAGGAUGUGAGACAGAAUCUCCACACUUAGAAAGUCCCAAGGAAGGUUGGAGACCUAUUCCAGAACAUACUUCCUUGUCUGCUAUCUAGCCCUAUUCAGCACUAAGAAGGUGGUCCCGGACCUUAGGAUGGGGGUGGGACUGCUGCCAUUAACACCCACAGAGUGCAGAGAGACUGAACUUCUCCAAGGCUGUGCCUCUGCCACUGAGAAGAGCAGCUUUUGGCCUGUCUCCAGACAGCUAAUUAGUGGGAUCAAUUUCUCAUAUAGACUGAGCAUGAUGGUGCACACCUGUAAUCUCAUUGACUCAGGAGGCUGAUGAAGGAGGAUCACAAGUUCAAGGACAGCCUGGGCAACUUAGCUAGGCAAUGUCUCAAAGAAAAAGAAAAGAAAGAAAAAAAGGCUGGCUAUGACUCAAUAGUGUCUCUGGGUUCAGUUCCAUAUAUAUAUAUAAACAUACAUAUGUAAGUAUAUGUAAAAUAUAUGUAAACACACACACACACACAUAUAUAUAGUGUGAGUACAUUGUGUGUGUGAAGGCUAUGAGAAGUCUGAUAUUUCUGCAGUGUAACUUGCUAUAUAUUAAAAAUGCAUUCUACAUAAUAUGUAACUUUCAGGAAAAAUUGAUACCAUAACAUGAAUUGGGGGAGAAGCCACAGCAAUCAAUAAUCUGCCAAACCAGAAAGUACCAGAUCUGAUGGGUUCACUGGUUAAUUCAACCAAACAUUCAGGGAAUAAAUUAUACCAAUUCUCUGAAAUUUCUUCCCAAAGAUAGAAGCAGAGGGGAUAUUUCCUAAUUCAUUCUUUGAGGCCAGCAUCACCCUAAUGCAAUAAAUAAAUAAAUAAAUACAUUACCAAAAAAAAGAAAAUCACAAACCAAUACCUCUCAUGAAUAUUGAUGCAAAACUACUUUGUGAAAUAGUAACAAAUUAGGGGUGGGGAAGAUAGCUCAGUGGUAGAGCCCUUGUCGAGCAUGCACAGGACCCUGGGUUUAAUUCUCAGUACCGCAAAAAAAUUCAGCAAAUUGAACAAUUUAUAAAAAGAUAUACCAUGACCAAGGGGAAUUUAUCCCAAGUAUGCAAGACUGAUUCAACAUUCAAAAAUCAGUUCAUGUAAUCUAUCACAUCAAUAGGCAAAAAAAAGAAAUACUACAGGAUAAUACCAAUU
RNAcentral lists this long non-coding RNA (2235 nucleotides) under Marmota monax (woodchuck). The stretch from base 794 to 1075 matches the Rfam family "7SK RNA". The record is from RNAcentral. Lineage: Eukaryota; Metazoa; Chordata; Mammalia; Rodentia; Sciuridae.